This 460-nucleotide ribosomal RNA is filed under the name uncultured bacterium. RNAcentral describes it as "partial 16S ribosomal RNA". It matches the Rfam family "Bacterial small subunit ribosomal RNA", at positions 338 to 795 of the family's 1533-position model. The record is from RNAcentral.
CCUACGGGAGGCAGCAGUGAGGAAUAUUGGUCAAUGGACGAGAGUCUGAACCAGCCAAGUAGCGUGAAGGAUGACUGCCCUAUGGGUUGUAAACUUCUUUUAUAUGGGAAUAAAAUGUUCCACGUGUGGGAUUUUGUAUGUACCAUAUGAAUAAGGAUCGGCUAACUCCGUGCCAGCAGCCGCGGUAAUACGGAGGAUCCGAGCGUUAUCCGGAUUUAUUGGGUUUAAAGGGAGCGUAGGUGGAUUUUUAAGUCAGUUGUGAAAGUUUGCGGCUCAACCGUAAAAUUGCAGUUGAAACUGGCAGUCUUGAGUACAGUAGAGGUGGGCGGAAUUCGUGGUGUAGCGGUGAAAUGCUUAGAUAUCACGAAGAACUCCGAUUGCGAAAGCAGUUCACUGGACUGCAACUGACACUGAGGCUCGAAAGUGUGGGUAUCAAACAGGAUUAGAUACCCUUGUAGUC